AGAGUUUGAUCAUGGCUCAGGAUGAAUGCUGGCGGCGUGCCUAACACAUGCAAGUCGAGCGGUAACAUGAAUAAUUUAUUAUUUGAUGACGAGCGGCGGACGGCUGAGUAACGCGUGGGAACAUGCCCCAAAGUGAGGAAUAACUGCCCGAAAGGGUAGCUAAUGCCGCAUAUGAUCUUCGGAUUAAAGGAUUUAUCCGCUUUGGGAGUGGCCUGCGUACGAUUAGAUAGUUGGUGAGGUAAUGGCUUACCAAGUCUACGAUCGUUAGCUGGUCUGAGAGGAUGACCAGCCAGACUGGAACUGAGACACGGUCCAGACUCCUACGGGAGGCAGCAGUGAGGAAUCUUCCACAAUGGGCGAAAGCCUGAUGGAGCAACGCCGCGUGCAGGAUGAAGGCCCUCGGGUCGUAAACUGCUUUUAUAAGUGAAGAAUAUGACGGUAACUUAUGAAUAAGCACCGGCUAACUACGUGCCAGCAGCCGCGGUCAUACGUAGGGUGCAAGCAUUAUCCGGAGUGACUGGGCGUAAAGAGUUGCGUAGGUGGACAAGUAAGCGAAUAGUGAAAUCCGACGGCUCAACCGUACGGACUAUUACUCGAACUGCUUGUCUCGGGAAUGGUAGAGGUAACUGGAAUUUCUAGUGUAGGAGUGAAAUCCGUAGAUAUUAGAAGGAACACCAAUGGCGUAGGCAGGUUACUGGACCAUUUCUGACACUGAGGCACGAAAGCGUGGGGAGCGAACCGGAUUAGAUACCCGGGUAGUCCACGCCGUAAACUAUGGAUACUAGCUGUUGGGGGUAUCGACCCCCCCAGUAGCGAAGCUAACCGCGUUAAGUUCCCGCCUU
This 842-nucleotide ribosomal RNA is filed under the name uncultured bacterium. RNAcentral's name for it is "bacterial SSU rRNA". It matches the Rfam family "Bacterial small subunit ribosomal RNA", at positions 9 to 873 of the family's 1533-position model. The record is from RNAcentral.